RNAcentral lists this ribosomal RNA (792 nucleotides) under uncultured Arthrobacter sp. RNAcentral describes it as "bacterial SSU rRNA". It matches the Rfam family "Bacterial small subunit ribosomal RNA", at positions 70 to 872 of the family's 1533-position model. The record is from RNAcentral. Lineage: Bacteria; Bacillati; Actinomycetota; Actinomycetes; Micrococcales; Micrococcaceae.
ACUUUUGUGCUUGCACAGAAUGAUUAGUGGCGAACGGGUGAGUAACACGUGAGUAACCUGCCCCUGACUCUGGGAUAAGCCUGGGAAACUGGGUCUAAUACCGGAUAUGCACCGUGGACCGCAUGGUUUUUGGUGGAAAGAUUUUUUGGUCAGGGAUGGACUCGCGGCCUAUCAGCUUGUUGGUGAGGUAAUGGCUCACCAAGGCGACGACGGGUAGCCGGCCUGAGAGGGUGACCGGCCACACUGGGACUGAGACACGGCCCAGACUCCUACGGGAGGCAGCAGUGGGGAAUAUUGCACAAUGGGCGAAAGCCUGAUGCAGCGACGCCGCGUGAGGGAUGACGGCCUUCGGGUUGUAAACCUCUUUCAGUAGGGAAGAAGCGAAAGUGACGGUACCUGCAGAAGAAGCGCCGGCUAACUACGUGCCAGCAGCCGCGGUAAUACGUAGGGCGCAAGCGUUAUCCGGAAUUAUUGGGCGUAAAGAGCUCGUAGGCGGUUUGUCGCGUCUAUCGUGAAAGUCCGAGGCUCAACCUCGGAUCUGCGGUGGGUACGGGCAGACUAGAGUGAUGUAGGGGAGACUGGAAUUCCUGGUGUAGCGGUGAAAUGCGCAGAUAUCAGGAGGAACACCGAUGGCGAAGGCAGGUCUCUGGGCAUUAACUGACGCUGAGGAGCGAAAGCAUGGGGAGCGAACAGGAUUAGAUACCCUGGUAGUCCAUGCCGUANACGUUGGGCACUAGGUGUGGGGGACAUUCCACGNUUUCCGCGCCGUAGCUAACGCAUUAAGUGCCCCGC